This 412-nucleotide ribosomal RNA is filed under the name Hyalomma marginatum. Its description in RNAcentral is "partial large subunit ribosomal RNA". The record is from RNAcentral. Lineage: Eukaryota; Metazoa; Arthropoda; Arachnida; Ixodida; Ixodidae.
CUGCUCAAAUGAUUUUUUAAAUUGCUGUGGUAUUUUGACUAUACAAAGGUAUUGUAAUAAGAUUUUAAUUGAAUGCUAAGAGAAUGGAAAUUUAAAAAAAAACUUUUUUAAAAAUAAAAAUUGAAUUUUUUUUAAUUUGUGCAAAAACAAUUAUAUUUAUUAAAGACAAGAAGACCCUAAGAAUUUAAGAUUUUACAAUUAAAAAGUUUUUUUUUAAAAUCUUGAUUGGGGCGAUCAAAAAAUAUUAAUAACUUUUUAAAAUUUAAAUUGAUCUAUUAUUAAUAAACUAAUGAAUUAAAUACUCUAGGGAUAACAGCGUAAUAAUUUUUGAUAGAUCUUAUUGACAAAAUAGUUUGCGACCUCGAUGUUGGAUUAGGAUUCUUUUUUAAUGAAGAAGUUAAAAAAAGAAGUU